GGUCAAGCUACAAAGGGCUUACGGAGGAUACCUAGGCACACAGAGGCGAUGAAGGACGUGGUUACCUGCGAUAAGUCUCGGGGAGUUGGAAGCACACUUUGAUCCGGGAAUUUCCGAAUGGGGCAACCCCUUGAACGACCAACUGAAUAUAUAGGUUGGUGCGAGCUAACC
This 171-nucleotide ribosomal RNA is filed under the name uncultured cyanobacterium. Its description in RNAcentral is "partial 23S ribosomal RNA". It matches the Rfam family "Bacterial large subunit ribosomal RNA", at positions 1 to 185 of the family's 2925-position model. Lineage: Bacteria; Bacillati; Cyanobacteriota. The record is from RNAcentral.